ACGCGGUUUCCUCACUCUUCUCCCUUUCUCUGCCCGGCGCCACCACCCCUCACCUCGCCGCGCCGCAGGCUGGACUCAUCGGGCUUGGCACCGAUGGCGACGGCCGACGCCGCCUUCCCUCACCACAGCGGACACAGACGGACGUCUCUCCCCUGGUUUCUCACCGAACGACAGGAGCAGAGCCCCACCACUGUGGCAACAAUGGACAAGGAAAAGGGGAAGGACAGUAGGAGGAGAAGGAGAAGGAGAGGAGCUUGGUGUCCAUUAUGAAGACUAAGCCGCUUGUCCCAGGAAGCAGAAGGGGAAGGGCAUGGGCAAGGGUUGUGUCGCUGCAGAGGAAGCGGGCCAAGGAUUACGGCAAUGUCCCGCUCGCCGAAUUGUUAUUAAGGGUAAAAAAAGCUCCGCGGCCUUGACGUCUCGCUGACCCUGCCGACGCCAAGAUCCGCACCAACCCCACUGUCCGCCGCUGGAUGGCGGAUCUCAAGACCGCCGCCUACCAAGCCGACCACGUCCUCGAAAACUUCCGCUAUGAGGCGCUGCGGUGCUGUGCCGACGACCACAUCCGCGGCCCCUUCUCCGUGAGUCCUUGUCUCUAUUUUCAGUUUAAUUUGGAAAUGGAUUUUCUGUUUAAUUUGGAAGUGGAAGCCCCGUAAUCUAUGGAAAUUGAAGGCUUUUAAUUUUACUGAAAUUAAAGAUGGUCCUGUGUGGCUCUGUUGUUUUCAUUCAGUUUAUAAGUGACUACAAUUCCUGGCUACAUAAGCGUCAGUCUGUCAAGUGUCAAGUGUCAAAUUUCAGAGGACACUUGAAAUCUGAGCAUCAAAGAGGUUCAGUCAGUCUGUCCAGUGUCAAUAACACUUGAGAUAUUUGUCGAACACGUUCUGUAGUAGAAACGGAAUCCUACAUCUUCACCGGUAUGGUUGUGCCAAAUAUGUGUGUCCAAGCUCCCGUGUUUGCUGUUUUUGCUAUCCAAAGGUCAAAUAUAUGUGUGUGCAAGCUCAUGUAUGUGUUGUUUUUGGUAUCCAAAAGUCAAAUAUAAGUUUGUACAAGCUCAUGCAUAUGCUGUUUUUGGUAUCCAAAAGUCAAAUAUAUGUUUGUACAAGCUCAUGUAUGUGCUGUUUUUGCUAUCAAAAAGUCAAAUAUAUGCGUGUCCAAGUUCAUGUGUGUGCUGUUUUUGUGUGCUAGGCAAUGAAGCAUGAUAAGCAAGCGGAGAAGGAUUAUGAAGAGGAGGAAGACAAUGAGGAGGACGAGGAUGAGCAAGGUACUGUGUUUGAGGAGGAGGAAGAUUCUCAUUUUGAUGUCAAAGCGCCAAGUGUUAUGCUAUGCAAAAUUGCAUUGUUUGGCUAUCAACGUUCAAUAUUUUUGCUGUAUAAAGUUCAAAGGAGGAGCUGUCCAAAAUUCAAAAGCAAUGAUGCCCAAUUCUUUUCAUCACUAUGACCAUUUUUUAAACCAUA
Molecule: long non-coding RNA, 1451 nt
Organism: Triticum aestivum (bread wheat)
Lineage: Eukaryota; Viridiplantae; Streptophyta; Magnoliopsida; Poales; Poaceae
Exons: 2
Source: RefSeq, a predicted model, not a curated record